Molecule: long non-coding RNA, 2135 nt
Organism: Mugil cephalus (flathead mullet)
Lineage: Eukaryota; Metazoa; Chordata; Actinopteri; Mugiliformes; Mugilidae
Exons: 3
Source: RefSeq, a predicted model, not a curated record
GGCAGUCCUGCGGGGUGUGCGUUGGGGUGGACCCAGCCGAGGUGGAGCGUAUGGGCAUGGGCAUGGAGCAGCCCGCGCCGUGACUUGGAGAAGAAUGAGGGGAGCCGCCAGACUGCGACUGCAACAGAUGAAAAAAAACAACAUUUGUGGUUGCGGCAGAAACGGUACCUGAGGAGCCGCAGUUCGGUCAGAAGCGUGGGAUUCUGCUGGGCUUUUUCUGGCGUCGGCUGUGAGGCCUGUUCAUGCUCCAAACGCAGCCUCUGGAUCUCCUGCAGGAUCUCCCUGGAUGCACCGGACAGCAGCGGUGAAAGAUAUUGGCGAAACCCGGCCGCGGAGCACUCCAGCGCCUGUGGUCCGUGCGAAUGAUAAUUCUCCGUGACAUCCCGGCUCACCAGUGACUGUGGGCUAAUGACACCGACUGAGCCGCCAAGGAACCACUUAAUGAUGACGAACUCGGGGGCACGUUACGGGCCGUCCCUGCGAGGGCCCUCGGUCCGAGCGCGUCUGGAUCAUUCACACGGUGCGUUUACUGACUGCGGAGGUUUGGGGAGAUCUGCAGAUCAGCAGAGCACGACCUUAGGAGUCAAUGUUCUGCGUUCAGAGAAUAGUUUUUAUUUGCUUCUAUGUUGUGACAGAGCCUCUCUCUCCACUCGCAAACUUACAGCUCUGACUCGUGCUGAGUGUGUUGAGUCACAGGCUAAGGUCUUUAAAGUGGCCCUUCCACUGAAACUACAGAUAUUAUGAUCAUGAUUAUGUCUUCACUAAAGGUUUAACUUCAAUAACCUCAAGAUUUAUUCUCAAAUACCGGUUAAUUCAACACAACAGGCCCAUAUAUACGGUGUACAUUGAAUCAAAAAGAAGAGAAUAUCAGAAACACUUGAUUUUCUGGAGCAGCUGAAUCAUCUUCAAGUCUCAUUAUGACCACUCAUCUCACAACCAGCAGAUAUGGCUGCAAUUCAAGACGGCAAUGAAUCGCUAUGUCCUAAAUCAAGCUGUCGUUCUAAUGCUCGUAGCUCAGUGGGAAAAUCAUGACAGUAACCCGUCACAUGUACGGGCGCACAAACCCAGUCUCUGUGUUUAUUAAAAGGGGGAAAUAGAACUUAACCCAGGCUGUACAUUUACGUGGUGAUAAGUCGCUUCUAAUGCCGAGCUUUUGGAGGAAAGCGUUUGCUUUGCAGUGGGAGACCCGGCAGGCACAUGUCAGCAAAAUAACACAAUGCUUCAUUGUAAAUAUUGAGCUCAUGAAGUAACUGGUGAAAUUCAUGAGCAGGCAGGCUUUUUGCAUUGGACCAAAAAAAAUGUAAGCGUUGCCUGCUGGCGGAAAAUGACUGGUUUAAUAGCUAAGUUGACGGUGUAAGAUGUGGAAACAAGUUUUUAAUAAUUCAUGACAAAAUGAAUUCUCAGACCAGAGAACAUUGAGAUCACUAUCAGUGAGAUCACUGUGGUAAAGCCCUGGGUUGAUGGGAAUUUUUUUUUAUUUUAUUUUAUAUAUUUUUUUUUAUUUUUUCCUAACCAUAGCUUCAUAAUAUUUCGGAUGUCGGAGGUUUGUGAUGGAGUCAGACUUGUGUGUAGAAUUCAUCACAGGCAUUUAAAGGUGCAUUUUAAUGUAACCGCACCUUCAGCUUCGAGGUAAUGACAACAUCCUUUGACGCGAGUCAACAUAAGGACUGGGUUACUGCAGUAUCUCCCCGCCGCUGAUAUCAUUCACUUCUUCGUUUCUAGGAGCCUUAAUUCUCUCACUGAGCACCACUGCAACACUUAAAAAAUCACUUCUGGAGCGACGGAAGAGCACAAACGCAGCCACAUCGCUGAUUUAACUGCAUAUUUACCUUAUUUCCGCAAUGGGAAUAGUGUGUCGUGAUGCCCAUAAAUUAUUAUUUCAUUUUUUUUUUUUUUUUUUUUUCCCCUUCCUAGUUAACACACAAUGGCAGUCCUGUAUCUUUUCAAAUCUCACUGGUGUGUCGAAGAGAGACACAUCACUGGCCUUUUACGGGGGGAAAAAUCACGCAGGUUGCGUUUGGAGCAUCAUCAUCAUCAUCAUCAUCGGCAGCAGCAGCAGCAGCAGCAGUAGCAACAUCAGAUUGGGAGGAUAAGUGGUACAGGGUGAAUAUUUCCUCCGUGAUUCACAGCCCCGC